UACGUAGGGGGCAAGCGUUGUCCGGAAUUAUUGGGCGUAAAGGGCGCGUAGGCGGCCUGUUAAGUCGAACGUGAAAUCCCCGGGCUCAACCCGGGAACUGCGUCCGAUACUGGCAGGCUUGAAUCCGGGAGAGGGAUGCGGAAUUCCAGGUGUAGCGGUGAAAUGCGUAGAUAUCUGGAGGAACACCGGUGGCGAAGGCGGCAUCCUGGACCGGCAUUGACGCUGAGGCGCGAAAGCCAGGGGAGCAAACGGG
Molecule: ribosomal RNA, 253 nt
Filed under: uncultured bacterium
Lineage: Bacteria
Description: partial 16S ribosomal RNA
Rfam family: Bacterial small subunit ribosomal RNA
Source: RNAcentral